RNAcentral lists this transfer RNA (60 nucleotides) under Pinus koraiensis (Korean pine). RNAcentral's name for it is "partial tRNA-Asp". It matches the Rfam family "tRNA", at positions 14 to 71 of the family's 71-position model. Rfam says of the family: Transfer RNA (tRNA) molecules are approximately 80 nucleotides in length. Their secondary structure includes four short double-helical elements and three loops (D, anti-codon, and T loops). Lineage: Eukaryota; Viridiplantae; Streptophyta; Pinopsida; Pinales; Pinaceae. The record is from RNAcentral. RNAcentral also lists the same sequence under 1 other name.
AUUGGUUAGAGUACCGCCCUGUCAAGACGGAAGUUGCGGGUUCGAGCCCCGUCAGUCCCG